RNA transcript from Prionailurus viverrinus (fishing cat), 6351 nucleotides. It is a transcript of the gene named QKI, KH domain containing RNA binding, with no coding region annotated. Lineage: Eukaryota; Metazoa; Chordata; Mammalia; Carnivora; Felidae. The record is from RefSeq and is a predicted model, not a curated record. The transcript is spliced from 8 exons.
CGCGCGGUCCGGCCGCCCCGGCGCCCGGCGCGGGAGCGGAGCGGAGCGGGACGCCGAGUCCCGAGCGGCCGGCGGCCGGGGCUCCCCGCCCCUCCCUCCUCUCCGGCGGCGGCGGCGGCGGCGGCGGGCGGAGUGAGCUGCGGAGCCUGGAAUAUGGUCGGGGAAAUGGAAACGAAGGAGAAGCCGAAGCCCACCCCAGAUUACCUGAUGCAGCUGAUGAACGACAAGAAGCUCAUGAGCAGCCUGCCCAACUUCUGCGGGAUCUUCAACCACCUCGAGCGGCUGCUGGACGAAGAAAUUAGCAGAGUACGGAAAGACAUGUACAAUGACACAUUAAAUGGCAGUACAGAGAAAAGGAGUGCAGAAUUGCCUGACGCUGUGGGACCUAUUGUUCAGUUACAAGAGAAACUUUAUGUGCCUGUAAAAGAAUAUCCAGAUUUUAAUUUUGUUGGAAGAAUCCUUGGACCUAGAGGACUUACUGCUAAACAACUUGAAGCAGAAACAGGAUGUAAAAUAAUGGUCCGAGGCAAAGGCUCAAUGAGGGAUAAAAAGAAGGAGGAGCAGAAUAGAGGCAAGCCUAAUUGGGAGCAUCUCAAUGAAGACUUACACGUCUUGAUCACUGUGGAAGAUGCUCAGAACAGAGCAGAGAUCAAACUGAAGAGAGCCGUUGAGGAAGUGAAGAAAUUACUGGUACCUGCAGCCGAGGGAGAAGACAGCCUGAAGAAGAUGCAACUGAUGGAGCUCGCAAUUCUGAACGGCACCUACAGGGACGCCAACGUCAAAUCACCAGCCCUUGCCUUUUCUCUUGCAGCGACAGCCCAGGCUGCUCCGAGGAUUAUCACUGGGCCUGCGCCUGUUCUCCCACCAGCUGCCCUGCGUACUCCUACGCCAGCUGGCCCUACCAUAAUGCCUUUGAUCAGACAAAUACAGACCGCUGUCAUGCCAAACGGAACUCCUCACCCAACUGCUGCAAUAGUUCCUCCGGGGCCCGAGGCUGGUUUAAUCUACACACCCUACGAGUACCCCUACACGUUGGCGCCAGCUACAUCAAUCCUUGAGUAUCCUAUUGAACCUAGUGGUGUAUUAGAGUGGAUUGAAAUGCCAGUCAUGCCUGAUAUUUCAGCCCAUUGACUUGCUGGAUGAAGGACUAGAAUACAGCAGCUGUUAUAACACGACCAGUCAAUGUGGGACAAACUCUUUCCGUGCUGCCCCUUUGUUUUACCAGACAGAAUUUGAAUACUUUUUUUUCUUGAAUUGUAUGUGACCUUGGUGCCGCAUGCAUGCUGUGGACUCGUAGGACUUUGAUCUUUUAAGUUCUGGGUUUUUUUUCCAGCAUUAAUAAUGAUUUAUAAAAAUUUGAAAGUCUUUCAUGAACCCGGACACUAAGAUUUAAACUUGAAACUUCAUUGUUCAAUUAAAGAAAGCCACGAUGCUCUGUAUGUUAUCUGUGUGUGUGCACGCACUCAGGUGCCUUCUGUUUCAUGAGCAAAUACAUUUGAUUGUACAUGGUUUCCGUUUAUCUCUAAAUCGUUGUAUAAAGUACCUUAGGUCAGAAUUAUACUCUAGAUAGAGCUGUUGACGAGAGGCUUGUUUUCUGUUGCACAUUUCUUGAAGCAUUUUUAAAAUAACAUGUAACAUGUAACCUGUUUACGUUUUCCUUUCUGUUAACGCUCUGUCCCGCGGCCCCACGCCUGCUCCUUUAGUCUCAGAGCUCCUCUCUGCUGCACGCACAGCGUCUGUUCGAGGAGUUUGUUGCUUCCUGCAGGGCUGGCACUCUGAGCCACCAGCUGCUGUUCCAGCACUCUCGGUGCAAGAUCUUGCUGAUUUUGCCUCGUGCAAUUAUACUUGUACAAGAUUAGUUUAUCUAAAAUGCAAGAAGGGGUGAUGGACCAGUUUACUGCUUAGAAACAGCAAGAGGCACUGCAGUCUCUCAUUUUAAAGCAAUGUGUUUUUUGUUGUGUUGGGAAAUUUUUAUUUAUAAUACUUAAUUAUUAGACUGACAAAAUUAAAAGCGAAAUAUACAGAUACCUAAUUGGCCUUCAUAAAAUGAAUAAUAAUGAGUACUAAGUGACCAAAAUCCAUUCAGAGUCUUCCUUCUCGCUUUGCCACCUAAGCAGUAAAACAUGACAUUGACCACUUGGAGAACUGAGAAACUUAUUUCAAAUUGCUAAGUUAUAAUAAAUUUGCACACAGAUAACAUGCAUGAUAUAUAUCAAGUUUCACAUCCUAUUAUUUUAAAAUAAGCAGUGCCCUUCAAAACAGAUGCAGACAUGUGUGUUGGUGGUAGUGAGGAGAUUGGUAUUAGCAUCAAGUCUUCAUUGGUGACUAAUUUUUAAUUCCCUUCCUUUUAUCUUUAGGUAUGGCUUUCCCAACGAAAGGCUAAGAAUUCAAGAACGGUCUUAACUGAACCCUCAUCAGAUCUGAAUUUAACAAAUGCUUAGUCUCAGCAGCCUCCGGGGGGGUGGGGGGGAGCUUAGCCUAGCAGUCAGUGACUCACUUGCACUUUUUGCACACUGAUAGAAAGUAAAAGUAUGUUAUUAAUUUGGUUUAGUCUGUAAUCUUACAAAGUAACGGUGAUUUAUAAAGGAGUGUAUAGUGUACUGACUGCUAAGGGCACUACACUGUUUGCUUUACUAAUCACCUAAUUCAUUGCAGUUCAUACUUAUUGACUCAGAGUUUCGAACCACAAUCUGUAGGCUGUAAGAAUUGCUUUUAAACCUUUUUAAGCGAUAAACUCUGGAAGUGGUCUUAAGGUUAGCAAAUAAUUGUCAGUAUUAAGCAUGGCAUUAUUGAAGUGGUCCUGCUGCGAGAAAGGCACUUCAGUGAAUAUGUGACUAGUAAAGCUGAAAUAUGUUUGGAUCUAAUAGAGUUCACGAAACACUGUACCUUGGGAUUGUGAAUGAACGCGUAAAACAGGUUAAGGCCAAGAUGUUUGAGAUGAAUGCAAUAUUAAUAGACGCAUAUAUACGCAACAUAUUAUGGUUAAUUUUAAAACUACUGUGCCUUAACAUGUUUCUUAAGAGGAAACUUUUGUAGUAAAAUGAACCUUUGAAAUCCAUUUUGAUAAACCUGCUGUUUAAUGUUUGUUUUCUUUUCCCUUGUGAAUGUUUUCUAACUUUGUCUUGGUAAUUGCAAUUUAACUAGGUGCGGUGGCUACUAAAGUUCGAAGGCACGAUAUGCGAGUCCAUCCUUACCAAAGGAUUGUGACCGCAGACCGAGCCGCCACCGGCAACUAACCUAUGACCUUCUGACCUCUGAACUCUUCACCCAAUGAUGACCUGACCAUGCCUGCCUGCUGAUCAGUUAACUGGUAAUCGCCUUUGCUUGCCUGUCGUCAGUGCAGCGAGCUGAGGCACUUGUCCGUUCGUCUUACCAUCUAACCAAACAAAAGACAAAGAAAUUGUUGUCCUCCGACUCAGCUUUUGGUUUUUCUUUCUGUUUGGGUGAAAGUGGUUCUAGAACCUGCACUGAAUAGUAGUAAAGCAAUAAGGCCCAAUUCAUCCCACAGCACUGAUCAUCUUUUCACGUCCUACCCUAAGCGAACGGUAAGAAGGCCUCACUUCAGAAGGGGAGACAGAUGGCCCUUAACUACUCAGUGACAGAGGCAGUUACUGUGAGAGACUUGUAGGAACCUUCUUCUCAUAGCGAGCACAGCUCUCUGAAUGUACCGUGUGAUGAUGCAUCAUGCAUGGACCUUUGGUCAGGGACGCCAUUGGUGAAGUGACUUCAAAAAGUAUUCAAAAUUUGAUACGCUGUUUAGUCACUACAGUGCCCUCAAAGGGCAGAAGUUGCAGCCUUUUUUAUAUUGCCUGCCAAAAUUGGAAGUAUUAGCAGUGUGCCAUGAGAGAUCAGCCUGACAAGGAAUUUUGAGAAGUAGUGCAAAGAACAAAAACUGCAACACUAUUUUUAAAAAGAUAAAUAAUAUCUGAGUUAAAAUUACUGAACCUUUAUUUUACAACCUCCUUUAAAAACUAUACGAGAACAAGGUACAUGCAUUAUGUGUCACAUUACUGGGCAAACUGUUCAAAUAUUUUUUUUAAACCUCCCUGUAUAGAAAAAAACAAAAAUCAUUAAGGAUGUAAAAGCCAUGCUUGCCUAUUUGCUGUAUACAUGUAAUGAAAUUGUAGAUAAAAGUGUAGUGCAUUGAAACAAAUGAACAAAAAGUAGAUACUUUUACUAUACAAGGGUGCUGGUGCAGAAAAAAAUAUAUAUAUUUUUGGAAAUGUAGCAUUUUAUACUUUCAAGUGUUAUAAAAAAAAAAAGAAAAAGAACAAAGAAACCCUUUAUUUCAUUAAAUGAUUUUUUCUGGUGGUUGUCAAGAAACAAAAGACCAAAAGAGCCUUUUUGUCUUUCUUUUUUAUUUUUUAAGUAUUGGAAUAAGUCUAAAGAAAAGAAAGUGCCUUAUUUUCCUUCAUGGUCAUUUAGUCAAGUGUCUUGUAAGAUCAGCUCCUCCCUCAGAAUACAAGUUAAUGCAUGUUUACUCAGUCGCCCGCCCAGUAUGUGAAAGAAGAUUUGAGGGGAGACCAAUGAGUUGAUGGUUUGGAUUAUAUGAUUUUUGCCACGUACCUUGAUACAAAUUUGCCAAAUCUGAUACUGUGAAAAAUUUGAUAGCUUUUCUAAUGCCUGGCGAGUAAGUUUUAAAACAUCAUUCUUUUAAAAUCAUUACUGAGUGCUCUUGGUUACUGUGAUAUUUAAAGUUAGCCCAACAGGUUCUAAGAUGAAAAUUAUGUGUGAUCGGAACAUCAAUUUGCAGACAAAAUUAGAACUUUAUUUUAUUCAGAGAAGGAGGGGUGUGCUGAAUUCUUUCUUACUAAAUUGGAGAUAAAUAGUAUUCUUAGCAGACUUUUUCACAAAAAAUGAAUCUUUGUGAUUUUCCUUCAGGAUAACAGUAUUUUUUAAUGGCCCAAAUUUAACCAGACUUCUUUCUACCCUACCCGAUUACUUGGGUGGUCCGUUUCUUUGGUGGCUUUUAGUGACCCAAGCGGCCCCUCCCACCCCGCCCCCCCCCCCCCCCCCACACACACCUGUUUGUUUGUUUUCACUUUAAAAAAACUGGCAUCACUGUGCAUGUAAAUGCUCAACUACAUGUGACUUUAAGCUUCCGGUUUCUCACGAAUUUCAGUUUCGUAGUUGAAACGGUUUGUGCGCAGAGCCCGACCACGUCCGAACACUUGAGUAAAUCGCCCAUAACUGCUCAGUAUCAGAUGUGGCAGAUUUCAAGUGGCAGUGGAUCCCCAGCUCAUCGGCUCACUCCCUCCCGCAUCCCUUCACAGCUUCACAGUCAAAGGUCAGCAGUGAGCUCAGUAAGCACCUUCGUGGUGACCUCCGUCAUCUUGUCUCACUUGGAAACCGUUUUCAGUUCAUUUACUAUGCAAUAGACAUUCAUUGUUUUGUAUUCAGCUAGCGUUGGUUUCAUGUGCCACUGCUUUGUCUUUCUGUUACACAUACAGUCGUUUUGAUUUAUUUACGGUAUAUGCUGUGCCAUUUUGAUUUUUAUUUUGGUUGGUUGGUUGAAUAAAUUUGCGACACUCGAACACUUGAGGUGAUAGUAGUUUAAAACCAGUACCAGUAUUUGACCCAGUCUCAUCUCAACUGUGUUACACCUGGACAUUUUAGAUGUUUAUCAAAGGUCUUUUAUGGGGAAGAAAGUAAAUGUAUGGGAUAAAUGUGUGACGUUUCUAAGUAAUGUUGGCUCUGAACAAACUUUUGGAAACUUAGUUGAUAAAAUUUUGGAUCAACUGAAAAAAAAGCAUGACUUUUGAAAUCUCUGAAUGCCUUGGUUCUCAGUAUUAUCAUUCUUUAUUGAAUUUAUUUCUUAUUAAAAUAUGUAGUUUUUAAGACUUCUUUUCUGACAGUAUUAUGUAAUUUUUUAGCGUGGGUAGAUGGGAGUGUCGCUUGUAUGUUACCGUACAGCCGACAUGUAUUUUUGUCAAUUCUUUAUUAUCUUAGUAGUUUCAUGCUGUGUAUGUAUCAUAACCAACCUAUUGCCUAUGAGAAACAUGUAAGAUAAUGUAUUUACAGCCAUUGUUACAAGUUUAUAAUGUAUUUUUCUAUCUUGUUUUAUAUGUAUGUUAUAUAACAUUCAAAAAGAAUUUUUUUCUUGAUUGAGAAAAGGAUACAAAAUGCAGAAUCCACAAUUUUGAUAACUGAAAAUUGCCACUUGUUUUGCAGUACUUUAUUAUAUUGGGUGUCUUGUCUUUCUCGGGCUUUUAGUUUAGCUAAUGAAUGAAUACAUUAGACACUUUUGGGUUUUAGUUGGGAUUUUACAUAGCUUGCAUUUUAAUUCUUUGGUUCUUUGCUGUUUCUAUUAACCCAUAGCAUUAUUUUAAUAAAUGUUAUAAUACCAACCUA